GUCGGGGAUAACGACUGCCUCCUGCUCUUGGAGGACAUUCCCGGCAUGGCGCGCGGCACGGUGGUGACCAGCAAUUGCGACG
This 82-nucleotide non-coding RNA is filed under the name Prorocentrum minimum. Lineage: Eukaryota; Dinophyceae; Prorocentrales; Prorocentraceae. The record is from RNAcentral.